RNAcentral lists this ribosomal RNA (195 nucleotides) under Triticum aestivum (bread wheat). Its description in RNAcentral is "partial small subunit ribosomal RNA". Lineage: Eukaryota; Viridiplantae; Streptophyta; Magnoliopsida; Poales; Poaceae. The record is from RNAcentral.
AUGCCCAAGCGGACCAUGGGAGGGAGGGCCGACGCCGGGGCCGACGCCAUGUCGCACGAAGCAUCCAAGCGCCGUGCGAAGCUGCACAUGGAGAAACCCCUCCCUGCCGGCGAGGGGUCCAGCCAGCAGCAGGGCGGCCUUGACGUUGUUGACCACGUCCAGGCUCCGGUGCAGGUGUCACCUACACCGGAGUAG